This 253-nucleotide ribosomal RNA is filed under the name uncultured bacterium. RNAcentral's name for it is "partial 16S ribosomal RNA". It matches the Rfam family "Bacterial small subunit ribosomal RNA", at positions 524 to 776 of the family's 1533-position model. The record is from RNAcentral.
UACGGAGGGUGCGAGCGUUAUCCGGAUUUAUUGGGUUUAAAGGGUCCGUAGGCGGGCCUGUAAGUCAGUGGUGAAAUCUCAUAGCUUAACUAUGAAACUGCCAUUGAUACUGCAGGCCUUGAGUAAAUUUGAAGUGGCUGGAAUAAGUAGUGUAGCGGUGAAAUGCAUAGAUAUUACUUAGAACACCGAUUGCGAAGGCAGGUCACUAAGAUUUAACUGACGCUGAUGGACGAAAGCGUGGGGAGCGAACAGG